UCGGGAAUUUUGGGCAAUGGGCGAAAGCCUGACCCAGCAACGCCGCGUGAGGGAUGAAGUAUUUCGGUAUGUAAACCUCGAAAGAAUGGGAAGAAUAAAUGACGGUACCAUUUAUAAGCUCCGGCUAACUACGUGCCAGCAGCCGCGGUAAUACGUAGGGAGCAAGCGUUGUUCGGAUUUACUGGGCGUAAAGGGCGCGUAGGCGGCGCGGUAAGUCACUUGUGAAAUCUCUGAGCUUAACUCAGAACGGCCAAGUGAUACUGCUGUGCUAGAGUGCGGGAGGCAACCGGAAUUCUUGGUGUAGCGGUGAAAUGCGUAGAUAUCAAGAGGAACACCUGAGGCGAAGGCGGGUUGCUGGGCCGACACUGACGCUGAUGCGCGAAAGCCAGGGGAGCAAACG
Molecule: ribosomal RNA, 400 nt
Filed under: uncultured bacterium
Lineage: Bacteria
Description: bacterial SSU rRNA
Rfam family: Bacterial small subunit ribosomal RNA
Source: RNAcentral